RNAcentral lists this unclassified non-coding RNA (336 nucleotides) under uncultured fungus. RNAcentral describes it as "partial contains small subunit ribosomal RNA, internal transcribed spacer 1, and 5.8S ribosomal RNA". The stretch from base 1 to 73 matches the Rfam family "Eukaryotic small subunit ribosomal RNA", at positions 1759 to 1831 of the family's 1831-position model. The record is from RNAcentral. Lineage: Eukaryota; Fungi.
UCAAACUUGGUCAUUUAGAGGAAGUAAAAGUCGUAACAAGGUUUCCGUAGGUGAACCUGCGGAAGGAUCAUUACCAAAUCCAAAUCUCAACCCCAUGUCAACUGUUGUUUGUCUGUCUUUGGGGGUGGCACUGAGGCUUGUGAGAAAAGCAGGCGCUUGCCGUUUUGCCUCCCCAGCUUUUUUGCUGCCCCCAAGUGAACCCGGCACUCCGGUGCUUUUGGGUUCAGCAGCUAAACCACUUUUCAAACUCUGUUGGAAUAUCUUUUUAUUAAACACUAAUAAAAGACAACUCUUAACGGUGGAUCUCUUGGCUCGUGCAUCGAUGAAGAACGCAGC